This 204-nucleotide microRNA precursor is filed under the name Oryza nivara. Its description in RNAcentral is "MIR812 microRNA precursor family". It matches the Rfam family "MIR812 microRNA precursor family". The record is from Rfam by way of RNAcentral. Lineage: Eukaryota; Viridiplantae; Streptophyta; Magnoliopsida; Poales; Poaceae.
AAAAAGACAAACCCUGAUUUCCGUGUCCAACGUUUGACCGUCCGUCUUAUUUGAAAAAUUUAUGAAAAAAAUUAAAAAGACAAGUCACGAAUAAAAUAUUAAUCAUGUUUUAUCAUCUAACAACAAUGAAAAUAUAAAUUAUAAAAAAAAUUCAUAUAAGACGGACAGUCAAAGUUAGACACGGAAAUUAGAGUUUCUUUUUUU